This 938-nucleotide long non-coding RNA is filed under the name Marmota monax (woodchuck). Lineage: Eukaryota; Metazoa; Chordata; Mammalia; Rodentia; Sciuridae. The record is from RNAcentral.
GAGACCCUGCAGAUCCAGGUCCAGGAACUGGCUCCACCCAGCUAGUAACCAGAGAGGCCAGGAUUGGGCUGGGCAAUCAAAGCUGCCCUAUGUCACUGUGCAGCCUAGCUCUGAUGGUCAUCCCAGUCAAAGGGUAGGAUGGGGCUUUGUAAGUUGGAGGCCCUAUGUGACUACAGUGUCACACUACCACCAUUGCCAGCCCACGCUCUCGAGAGGCAGAGCUGAACGGAUGAGGUCAUCCACUACAUGGAGAUGCUUUUCCAGGGAAGACAGGCCGGAGGAGCCUCCUCUCCAUGAAGGAGGGCCCCCUGGAGAUCCAAGACCUGGGCUGGAUCCCCCACAGGAGAGCAUCAGCCUGGAGAGUCUGCUGAGAUGAGCACAGGGGGUGUUGGCAAGUGUGCAGAGCCAGUGGCACCCCUAUGCCAACCAAAAACCCGCGAUCUAAUUUCCAUUUAGGAGGCCUUUCCUAUGCUCCUCUCCCUGCCCAGCUCUAUUCAGAGGGUUAGAGAACAGGGAUGAACAGGAGCUGCAGACACAAGGACCCCUGUGACACGGGUUCCGUGUGCACGGACGGAGCAAGCGGCAUGCAGGCUGGCAAGCCCUGCACACGCCACACGCUCCCUGGAUCGGGGGCUGGGGGCUGCAGAGUGUGCUACAGCCAGAAGCUUCCAGACCUCCCACCAAGGAAAUGAAUAGUGGCAGGCUGGGGUGUCCCUUGGGGUGUCCCAAGCCAGAGGAAGUCUGAAGAGAGCAGAGCUUUGGAGGACCUCUGUGCUCUGCUUAGGGCCAUGAGCUCUCAGAACCCCACGGCGGGACGGAGGGAGCCCAGGUCAGCCACACCCCAGCCUCUCCAGCCUUUCAGUUUCCAAGUCACAACUCUGAGAACAACUAGGAAGGUGAAGAUCAGUCCUCCCAAGUCAAAACUUGGAGACAGGCUC